RNAcentral lists this ribosomal RNA (1203 nucleotides) under Triticum aestivum (bread wheat). RNAcentral's name for it is "partial small subunit ribosomal RNA". The record is from RNAcentral. Lineage: Eukaryota; Viridiplantae; Streptophyta; Magnoliopsida; Poales; Poaceae.
AUGUCGUCUUCGGAGCUGCGCCCGCUUCCUGCCGCCUUCUUCUCCGGCGACCUGCCCGCGGACGCGCUGUACGAGGUCCUCCUCCGCAUCCCGGCCAAGGAGCUCUGCCGCCUCCGCGCCGUCUGCCCGGCCUGGCGCGCCCUCACCUCCAACCCGCUCUUCGUCGCGGCGCACAAGUCCCGCCACCGCAAGGCGCCUCCGCUCCUCGCCGUGGCCUACGGCGACGACGGUAAUCACAACGGUGUUGAGAUUUUGGAUCUGUGGGGCAACGUGGUGAAGCGGAUUCCGAACACCAAGUACAAAUCUGAUCUGAUGUUCGAUCGCAUCCGUGUUGUGCGCACGCGGCUAGACCUCAUCUGUUUGAGCUGGGUCGUCUGCUCUCGGGCCUUCUGGGUGCUGAACCCCGCCACUGGAGCUACUACCGCCUUGCCGUUGGGCUUCUCAGAGGAAUUGGAGCAUGAGCUAGAAGGGAAAAGGUUCUGCCAUUUUGAGUCCUGUGCUUUUGGGCAUGUCUCCUCUACCAGAGAGUACAAGGCGCUCCGUGUCUCUAGAGUUGAUGACCGGCAGGUAAGUGAGGUUAUCACCUUUGAUGACACCAACCAUGGAUGCUGGAGGAGAAAGCAGGACCCUCCACCCCAUAUCUGUGCCCGUCGCCAGAUGAGACUUGAUGGGGUGAUCUACUUCUUGAUGGAUUUUUACCCCACAUACUGUAAUACUGGGGUUUUAAUCACUGAGCCUGGUAGCAUAGCUUCCUUCAACCUUGAGACAGAGGAGUGGGGUGUUCUACCUGGUCCAGAACAGGUACAGAGGUUUGUGCAAGAGAACGAUGAUUACGGUUACGCAGAACUUGACCUCCAGUUAUCAUUGGCUGAGUUGGACGGCUGCUUAGUUAUGGUUCAGAAUAUUCAUUACGAAUCUAUGGACUUGUGGUUUUUGACAGAUUCUGAGAAAGGUAUCUGGGUUAAGAAAUACAGCUUGCCUUCACAUGUUGCUGAGCUUAAUAGGUAUCCUUUUCUGAUGUUAGAUGAUGGGACAAUUUUCUUCAGUGGGUCGAAUGGUUUACAAGGUUUAUUCAGUGCUGGAGAGCAAGGAGACGGAUUUCUGCUAAGUUAUGAUCUAAGAAACGACACUUAUGGUUAUGCACUAAAACUGAGAGGUUCCCAAUCCAUUGGCAUUUACACAGGAAGCCUGCUGAGUUUAUAG